GUGGGGAAUCUUCCGCAAUGGACGAAAGUCUGACGGAGCAACGCCGCGUGAGUGAAGAAGGUUUUCGGAUCGUAAAGCUCUGUCAUCAGGGACGAACGGCCGGUGGAGUGGAAAGCCACCGGAUUGACGGUACCUGAGAAGGAAGCCACGGCUAACUACGUGCCAGCAGCCGCGGUAAUACGUAGGUGGCAAGCGUUGUCCGGAAUUAUUGGGCGUAAAGCGCGCGCAGGUGGGAUCUUAAGUCCAUUUUUAAAGUUCGGAGCUCAACUCCGUGAUGGGAUGGAAACUGGGAUUCUUGAGUACCGGAGAGGAAAGCGGAAUUCCCCGUGUAGCGGUGAAAUGCGUAGAUAUGGGGAGGAACACCAGUGGCGAAGGCGGCUUUCUGGACGGUGUCUGACACUGAGGCGCGAAAGCCAGGGGAGCGAACGGGAUUAGAAACCCCGGUAGUCC
This 450-nucleotide ribosomal RNA is filed under the name uncultured bacterium. RNAcentral's name for it is "partial 16S ribosomal RNA". It matches the Rfam family "Bacterial small subunit ribosomal RNA", at positions 354 to 796 of the family's 1533-position model. The record is from RNAcentral.